GCCCAAAUUAUUUAGGGUUUGUCCAAUUUGAGCAGGUGGAUUUAGAGAGUCAGACGUAGUGGUUCUUCACAUCUCACCGACCCAGAUGGUCGUCUUUGUAACGUCACUUGGAAACAUUAAUCCAAGCAUUAACGUUUUCUGCACGACUCCUCCCACUUUCUCGAAUUAAAUCGACCAUAGCAUCCUCUGAAGUAAUGCCCUGAAGCUUCGCAUAUAAAUGGCUUUGUUGCUUGGGAUGAACAGUCCUAUCAAAACAAAAUCCCAAAGGUCUACCUCUGUCAAGCAUCAAAUCCAUCAAUGGUGAAUUCAUCUAUUAUUCUUGCUGAUUUAAAAGCUGGAAGCUGUUCAAACACCGUCAAGGUCCGUCUCAUCAGAUUCGGAGAGGCAAGAAUUGUUAAGAACGGUGGUCACCUCAGGGGUGUCCACAUGCUUCUCCUUAACGAGAAGGUGGGAUGUAUGGUAUUGAUGUCGCUGGAAGCACGUUUCACUACGAAGGUUUAUCGAGGUCACGGAAAAAGUGACCAUCCCAGCAGAGAAGUUUCGUUUUCAAAAGUAUAAUCAACUCAUGGCUUUGGCUAACACCAACUUCGAUUUGGCUGACAUCAUGGGCGAAGUUAGUUGUAUCAACACUGUUUUCGAUAAUGAAAACCAUUUCAUUCAUCAUAACAAUCCAAUUAGACAGGAAAGACGCAUCUCUUUCUCUCUGCAAAUAAAAACUGGGUUAGAACCAGCGACUAUAGCUUCUUUGUGCUUACUGAUAAGUUUGAAGUUUCACUCAUUUAUGAGACUAAACCUGUGAUUCAGUUACAUAUAAUGGAAAUAUUUCAGAACAAACUCAGGAUGACUUCAAUGCUUGGUUAGAUAUCUCCACUCUAAAUCAAAUAAGAAAAAUUGCAACUCUGGAGAUGCAAAUGAAUGUAAAUCGAUGGAAGCUAUAAUCAGAAAAUAGAAACUUGAUUUUGGGAAGUUUUCUCUUUGAAAAUAUAUGCGAGGUAUAUUAUACUCUCUAUUUUGUGAAGCCUGCUCUAGGGCUUAGCUUAUUAUACGUUUUGUGUUCUGAAAGUAUUAUAUAAUUUUGGGGUUCCCGGAUCUUUUCUGCUUGUAAUUCAUGCCAUCAUGGAGAAGAGAAAAGCAUACUCAUCUGGUUAUUGAUCUUGCGCUGACUAAUAGAUUUCUGGUUGAAGGUGUAAUCAAAGUUUUCAGGAUGCCAUGAUGUAUAUCGAUCCAUAGGUACCUGCACGGCCUGCACUGCAGUUUUUUGGAGUCAAUGGUUCGUGAGCCUCCAGUUUAUGAGGUUCCAGAGUGUCCCCCGGUGACAAGGAGGUAUUCGAUAUAAGAAGCUCAAUCGGGCGAUUUCAUUGAGUUUUUUUUUCCCUUGAAAAAACAUAUUAUAUAGUUGGAUGUGUAACUGAUGAUUUUUGCAAUUGUUUCUAGACGAGAUCAUGAUGAGGCAUUUUGAGAUAAUGCAAUUGUAAAUAGUUUUUAAUCAAUGUUUUAGAUUGUUUCCAUA
Long non-coding RNA from Brassica napus (rape), 1510 nucleotides. RefSeq lists it as uncharacterized. NCBI's taxonomy places the organism in Eukaryota, Viridiplantae, Streptophyta, Magnoliopsida, Brassicales, Brassicaceae. The transcript has 5 exons. The record is from RefSeq and is a predicted model, not a curated record.